This 1043-nucleotide long non-coding RNA is filed under the name Struthio camelus australis. Its description in RNAcentral is "lncRNA (ENSSCUG00000013619.1)". Lineage: Eukaryota; Metazoa; Chordata; Aves; Struthioniformes; Struthionidae. The record is from RNAcentral.
UGAAUACUUGUGUGGUUCCUAACAGUCCAUCUGACCGAAGUGGAUUAGUACAACACCUCCGUUUGGAGACGUGCAGUUGCUCAGUAACCAGCAAUCUGGGACGAGACUCACUCUAAGCCGUCAUCAGUGGAGGACUUAAACAUGAACUGCUCUUGCAGAUCCUGAAGAGGACGUAAUUGGUCUUAGCCAACAAUUUAAGACAGUUAUGGAAUGAAGUUUUCAUACUGGUAAAGAGGACGUGGUAAAGAGGACAUGGUAAAGAGGUUCUAGUCCCCAAGAAGACUAUGUGCAAGGAUUUCUAAGCUUUCCUAUCUAUAUCCACUGAGCAGAAAUUAUGUCUCUGGAAAAAGAACCCGAGUGUUGCUGAAGGUUAGAUAGACUGCAUGCGCUAACAGAGGAGACUUGGAGACUGCAGAUUGAAUGUUUCUACCUAUCGUGAUCUGCUCUGUGGAAGGAACAUUUCAGCUUGGAGACAUGACUCAUUCUGCCUUGGAGACGUUCAGUGUAAUUGUUAACCUUCAAUUCCAGGGUGCAAUCUACUCUCGCUUAUCUAGGUCAGGAAUGGAGGCAGAGGUGGGGAACAGACGUGCUGGUGACAGCGUGCCCCAGUCAGACACAGCAAGAUAUUUGCUGGGGACAUUGCUGACAAGAUGGAUAUUCUUGGCAGGCAUAAUGACCUUUCUCCCCGCCUUGAGUGGAAGAAACGAGGUCAAUGGAACACUGUGCCCUGCGAGCAGGACUUCAGGGAUUAACUCCGGAGGCCAAGUAUUACUCCCCAGUUUCUAUGUCAACAAGUAUUGCAGUCGGUCCUCCAGCUUAGAAUAUACAUUUUUUGUUACACUGGAAAGACAUGGACAUGACUUAAUGUCAAUUCACAUUAUCUCUGUUAUGCCUUGGGAACAUCAGGCGCAGAUGGAGGAUCCCAGCAGAAUUUAGUAGGGAGUGUGAUAUUUUCUUUCCCCUCCUUGUUGAACUGUGGAUUGAUGGACAAAUCCAUGGAAAUGCUGAAAGGGAAGAAAUAAAAAUGAAACAGAUGGAAAGCA